This 200-nucleotide ribosomal RNA is filed under the name uncultured bacterium. RNAcentral's name for it is "partial 16S ribosomal RNA". It matches the Rfam family "Bacterial small subunit ribosomal RNA", at positions 30 to 230 of the family's 1533-position model. The record is from RNAcentral.
AUUGAACGCUGGCGGCAUGCCUUACACAUGCGAGUCGAACGGCAGCGCGGGAGCAAUCCUGGCGGCGAGUGGCGAACGGGUGAGUAAUACAUCGGAACGUGCCCAAUCGUGGGGGAUAACGCAGCGAAAGCUGUGCUUAUACCGCAUACGAUCUACGGAUGAAAGCAGGGGAUCGCAAGACCUUGCGCGAAUGGAGCGGC